GAAAGCCCCACUUCCAGUCUGAUGAGGAAAGCGACAAUCUAUCAGGUACAGAACCAGGGGCUGUCUGCGAAGAUGGAGGGGAAUUAUGCUUCGGAUUCCUCUGAAAUAUUGGCCAAAGGCUUCAAAGAAUCCGCAGCGGGAGGUGCGGGGGGAAUGUCUCUCCCCAGCCCGCACCCAGCCCUUCCCACUUCGUGUCUACCAAAUGACAGCCUGGUGCUCGCUCUUGGUGAUUUGGCCUUGACUUCAGCCAAGCAGCUGAUGCAGACGAAGCCUCCGUUUGCAGGACUGGCAAAGUGCACGCUGAAGAAAGAAGGAAGAAAUUUUUCAAAAAGCAGCUCUGGGGAGGUUUCAUACUCCCCCCCCCCUUUUUUUAAUUUUUAAGUGAAUAUUUUCCAAAUUUGAUCAGUUCCAGCCCCUCCCUCCACUCCCACCCAACUACCCUUUUUUCUCUCGUCAAAGCAUAAGCUACAGAGUUACAGUCUCGAGAUUUGGUGUAUCGCUUCCUGCCCCCGCCUCCCCUCCCCGCCCCCGUUCUCCGUCCUCUAUUGAAACACCUCGCCCAGCCUAGCGCACUGAGAGCUCUCAUUUCCCCCCCUUGCUCGGGAUGGUGCCACAGGAGGCUGUGCGGGCCCCGCUCCGCUUCGAAUGGUUGUGUUGAUGUUCCUUUCAGCUGGUCCUAUAGUACCCCUCCUCAGGAAUGUCUCCCCAGUGCAAGGACAAAGACUGAAGAGACUGCUAUAUUGAUGGACUCUCAAGCCAACUAUGAAGUUGAAACAAAGAAAGUGAUCACCUGAAGACACCUCCUCUGCUAAGAAACACCCCCAAAUUGUGCAGCUUCUGCCACUAGAACUCUCAGAACAAGAGACAAUCUUUUCAAGAAACAGAAAAACUCAAUAAUGACAUCUAGAUUUUCAUGAGCCAAGAACUUUCCUUUCCUCAUGUGUAUUCCUCUGUUUGUACUUAAAUUCAUGUGACAUUCAUUUUUUUCCUAGUAUGGAUAUGCUUAUUAAUGCACUUGUUUCAAAAUCCCAAAUUGCACAAAUGUGUUAAUAUUUUAAGAAACAAAAUGAAUCCUACAAGGAGAAUGAUGUUUAGCCACACAUAGGGUUGGAUCUUAAGAGUGACCUACAGAAUAAAAGUACUUUUAAAAUAAAGUAGUCAGAGGCUAUUCAAAGGGUAAAAUAAUCAUAGUACCACAUUGGUCCACUUGACACUAACCAAUCGAUCAUUUUUUUUAAAUCAAGAAAGCUAGAUUCUAUCAGAUAAAAUCACUGCUUCUAAAGAGUUUAAAUCUAGUUAGAAAAAGUUAUAGAAAUGUUUUCAAAGAUAAGUAACAGAUAGAGUCAGUAGAGGAUAAGAUCAAAAACAAAACCAAGCAAAAGAUGAGUUCAGGGGAGUUUGCCAUCAAGUUGGCAAAACUGACUUACUUAGGGAAGAAAGUUAUAAAAGAGGAAAAUAUGAGAUGAACCUUGAGUGAUGUCAAAGAUUUAGAUAAAUGGAAAGGAAGGAGAAAAUGGAGUUCUUUAGGUGGUUGUAAUUGGAGGAGGAAAUGAAUACACACAUCUUGUUGACUUAAACCCAGACAUUCAGCAGCUCUCUAUACAUAUCUGGAAAAGACUUUGCACAGUCACCUCCUGUCUCUCACCCCAGGUAUUACUUAGAAUUAUUAUCAUAUUUCCCUUCCUUUAAAGUAAGUAAGGGUGAUUGGUGACAAUAUGGAGAACUAUGAUUUUUCCAUUAACCUAAUAAUAAUUGGUAUUUAUUGAGUUCUGUUAAGCAUGUUACAUAUUAACUCACUUAAGCCUUUCAACAGCCUUGCAAAAUAGGUAUUAUUAUUCCCAUUGUACAGGCAAGAAAACUGAGGUUUAAGUAACUUGCCGAAGUGCCAUUUACAGGGCUCACCUUCAGUAUUGCAGUUGCAAAGCUCAUGAUCUAUAGUGCCAAGUUGCAAUAUUGUAGUCAAUGUCACAAUUAUUACCCCUUUUUAUAUUCCUUGAUAUUUUUCCAUGGCAAACAAUUAGCUAUUUUAUUUAAUAAUCACCUAAAACUUUUCAGUCUUCUGAUUAAAAUUACACUGGAGUGAUAGAAUGUAUUUUCAUGAUAGAAACUGGGAAAAAAAUGGGGAAUGAAGUUUAUCAGCAUUUCAGACUUUUUUUUUUUUUUUGCAAGACUUUGAUGAGAUUGUUCACUUUUGUCUACGUAAAAUCCCAAAUCCUUGAGAAUAAAAAAGGGGGAGGUUUAAGUCACUUGUUGCAAUGCCCUUUUUAAUAGAGGCAAUAAAUCUAAAGGCCAUAAAUUUAGAGUGACUUACAGAAGAUCGAACUUUGGAGUGUGGCAGAGUAAGGGCUGGAAACCAGGCCCUCCAGUUCACUAUCAGUAGCUCUUGCACUGGUCUGCCCUUCCUAAAUUAAGUAUGCACUUCAAUUUGAUGAGUGGAAACAGUCUAUCUGGGCAGUAACCAGGGAGCUUUGUGCCUAGUAGAUUGCUUCUGUUCUGCACUUCUUUGGUUUCCCACCUCAAUGUAAAAAAUAGCUAGCAAUGAAGUCCAGAAGUUGUCAAUGGUUCAUCCCCAGAAGAAUGCAUAAUGUCCAAAGUGGUAUGUGUAUGAUGUCUUCAAUGGUAUUAAGUUAUUUCAAAUUCUUAGUUCACCUACAUAAAUCAUUUCUAACAAGCAUCUUCUUAACCAACUUUAUGCAUAGUGUAUGUUUGUAAGUGCUUCUGCACGAAUGUUUAUACAUGACUGUUUCCAUAGUACUUAUGUUUUUAAAAAUAUUCAGUCAUUUCCUAUUAUAAUCCUCAUGUAUCCAUGUAACUGACUCAAAAAUACUUCAGCCAUAGAAAGCUAAAACUGAGCAAAUCUCAUUCUCUUUUCCAUCCCCUUUGCAUGUGGCUGGCAUUUAGUAAUGAUUAAUAAUAUGGCCAGCUGAAUAACAGAGAUUCGAGACACAAUUCUUUCUCAAAGGAGUCAGCUAAGCUGGGUCUACUUAUGGACAAACAUCUAAAUGUGUGGAAGUAUCUGAUAUUUGACAACGGUAAAUUUCCACUUAGCUAGCUAGCAUUGUCAGACUUCAAUCUCCUCAUGGCUCUGGCCGUCCUGUUUUCAGCAUGAUAAUUGUUGGCCACAUCUCACAUAGUUCUCAUUGAGUGAGUUCAUAAAUAAACAGGGUUUUUUUUUUUUAAGAGCAGCCAAGCACAAAGUGUGACUUUGUUGACAUUUUAUGUGACUUUGUCAUAUGUUCCUAACCCCCAAUAAAAGCAAUGCUGCAUCAA
Molecule: long non-coding RNA, 3270 nt
Filed under: Pan troglodytes (chimpanzee)
Lineage: Eukaryota; Metazoa; Chordata; Mammalia; Primates; Hominidae
Description: lincRNA
Source: RNAcentral